RNAcentral lists this ribosomal RNA (253 nucleotides) under uncultured bacterium. RNAcentral's name for it is "partial 16S ribosomal RNA". It matches the Rfam family "Bacterial small subunit ribosomal RNA", at positions 524 to 776 of the family's 1533-position model. The record is from RNAcentral.
UACGUAGGGCGCAAGCGUUGUCCGGAAUUAUUGGGCGUAAAGAGCUCGUAGGCGGUUUGUCGCGUCUGUCGUGAAAGCUUGGGGCUUAACCCCAAGUCUGCGGUGGAUACGGGCAGACUAGAGGCAGGUAGGGGAGAACGGAAUUCCCGGUGUAGCGGUGAAAUGCGCAGAUAUCGGGAGGAACAUCAGUGGCGAAGGCGACUUCCUGGACCAAUACUGACGCUCAGGUGCGAAAGCGUGGGGAGCAAACAGG